Molecule: long non-coding RNA, 902 nt
Organism: Pipistrellus kuhlii (Kuhl's pipistrelle)
Lineage: Eukaryota; Metazoa; Chordata; Mammalia; Chiroptera; Vespertilionidae
Exons: 3
Source: RefSeq, a predicted model, not a curated record
UCUUUUGCAGUUGCCUCAAAAGAUUGAAGACUCUCAAGUUGUCUUCUCUCUGGAUUCAAAGUGUGUCCCCCUCCAGAGAGCCAGCAGAGCUGGAGCAGAGCAUGGCCCCUGCCACCAGCCACACAGAGAUCUGGGCCAUUGGGAAUGGCAGGGGGAGUGUCAGGCCCAUGAGCAGCAGCGGGUCAUCUUUGGUUUUCUGGAAGCGCGAUUCUCCAGCAGGCCGCAAGGGGGCGCGCAGUGGCUUUUCUGAAAAACCUUCUUGGUAGCCUUGCUUUGCUGUAGGUCUGGGCUCAGCCAAGGAAGUCCCUACCCAGGGACUUUCUGCUGCUUUUAUAGUGAGGAAACAUCCUCCCAACCUGCGACUGCGUUUUGCAAAAGGGUGCUUGAAGAUGGUGCGUUUUGGUAAAGACGACUGUUGGGGGAAAGGCUCCUCGUGGACACAGGCUGUGCUGUGUGCGGGGCCAGGAUUUGGAAAACGGGGCUGAAAAUGGUAAAAUUGACAGUUAUUUGUGAGCAAAAAUGAAACAAAUAGAAUUCUGACUGUCAUAGAAGAGAAAGAAGGGAAGUGACUUCUGAUGACAAGAAAACAAGGUGUAAGUUGGCAGAAUUGGUAGCAGCUACACAGGUGCCUGGUGCUGAGGCAGAGGGAGGAUGGAGCCAGCCCUGAGCUACACCAACUCAGGGAUGGGCUGCCUCUACCAGAGGCUCAAAGAACAGGACCUCCUGGGCCAGUGACCAGCCGAGUCACUUUCCUGUCAUUUAAUGCUCAUGGGAGCAGCUCUGAGGACUAAAGGGAAGACUCACAGUAACCAACUCUCAGAAGACUGAUGACCACAACACGCCCUGCUGGAGCAGGACCCUCCCUGCUGCCUAGUGGAUAUUAAUCUGAUGUACCUGCUCGA